This 73-nucleotide transfer RNA is filed under the name Saccoglossus kowalevskii. RNAcentral describes it as "tRNA-Arg". It matches the Rfam family "tRNA". From Rfam's summary of the family: Transfer RNA (tRNA) molecules are approximately 80 nucleotides in length. The record is from RNAcentral. Lineage: Eukaryota; Metazoa; Hemichordata; Enteropneusta; Harrimaniidae.
GACUCCGUGGCAUAAUGGAUAAGGCGUCUGACUUCGAAUCAGAAGAAGAUGGGUUCGAGUCCCGUCGGGGUCG